This 2623-nucleotide long non-coding RNA is filed under the name Bos indicus x Bos taurus (hybrid cattle). RNAcentral describes it as "lncRNA (ENSBIXG00000021352.1)". The record is from RNAcentral. Lineage: Eukaryota; Metazoa; Chordata; Mammalia; Artiodactyla; Bovidae.
GGGGCGGAACGGCCGAGGCACUGAGAGUGGGGGAUGCAGCAUGAAAUCCGUCCCCUGCAGAGUCGGUGCCUUCGGGGGCUCCACCGCCGCACGCUCCGACUUGCAAGGUGCAAAUGUUAGGUUUCAGCAUCCUGAGUUCCCUGAUUCUGAGCAAAGAUUUGUGUGGCUCCUUUCCUUUAAAAAUGUAAAGAAAACCCUCCCUUCAUCGCAGAAGCCAUCGUCUCCACCUUUUGUGGAGCCUCCUGCAAAAAGCCGCAGUCUGCAAGACAGAACUGGAAAGAACUCCUCCCAUCACUCAUGGGAGAAAAUGAAGCUCUCUACUGGCCUCUAUCAGAGAAGCUAAAAAUUUCCCUUUUUCCUGCAAGUGUCCCAAACCCCAUGACUCUUAUUUCCAGGCUUUUUACAUCUCUUGGAUCUGUAUGGUGGAAGUACUAUAGAGUGCUCUGCUAUUGUGCAUCUUCUCCCAAUGCCAAGUUCAGUGACUUCCAGUUGACGGCUUGAAAGUGGACAUGGUGGCAAUAUUUACACCACAGAGGUAGGCAAAUACUGUAUAUAAGGGUUUUUCCUUUUUUGUCAAGGAGAUUGUUAAACGGUUACUAGCUCGAGUGGGUUGAAUGGUGUCCUGGCAACAGUUGUCUACAUCUUAGUCCCAGGAACUUAUGAAUAUGAUCUUAUUUGGAGUAGGACUCUACAGGUGAAAUUAAGGUUCUUGACAUGAGAUCACCCUGGAUGAUCCCAGAAGGCCCUAAAUAUAAUCACGUGUGUUCUUACUUGGAGGGAGAUGAACACAAAAGCACAGAGGAGAGACGCAGAUCUAAGGAGGAGGCAAGAUGGUCAUUGAAGCAGAGAUCUGAGUAAAGCUGCUACAAGCCAAGGAAACCUGGAGCUACCAGAAGCUGGAAGAGAUAAGAAACAGAAUCUCUACUAGAAUCUCUGAAGGGAGAACAGACCUGGUGACAUCUUGAUUUUGGAUUACUGACCUCCAGAAAUGAGAAAGUAAAUUCCUCUUUUUGUAAGCCACCCAGUCUGUGGUGAUUGCUUCUGGCUGCCACAGGAAGCUAAGGGCCCAUCCAACCACCGCAGCACUACCGCAUGGCCCGGUGAUGGGCAUGUGAGCCACGCUGAGACAACGGGAGGUCAGCUCCUAUUGCAAAAGAAAUAUACCCCUUCUACGAGAGGUUGCUAAGUGGUUCAGUCUUUGCCAGAAUAUUUGCCAAAGAAGGAGAAUAGCAUAGAAAGUGGUAAAAUUGGGAUGCAGAAACAGAAAGAAGAGAGAGAGUCAGAACCCAGAUAAUGUUAUUUGAGAAGCUGAAUCUAUUCUACUACUGAAUUUUUAAAAUUCUAUGAACAAAUUACUUUCUUUUCUUUCUAAACCAAGUUCUUAACCAGUUGUUGUUCAGUCACUCAGUUGUGUCCAGUUCUUUGUGACCCCAUGGACUGCAGCAUGCCAGGCUCCCCUGUUCCUCACUGUCUCCCAGAGCUUGGUCAAACUCAUGUCCAUUGAGUCAAUGACGUCAUCCAACCAUCUCAUCCUCUGCCGCCGCCUUCUCCUCCUGCCCUCAAUCUUUCCCAGCAUCAGGAUCUUUUCUAAUGAGUUGGCUUGACCAAUAUAGACAUGUUAAUUUUCACAGCACAGAUAGGAUUGUAAAUACAUAAAAUUACUAUCAUUUCAUUAGUUACUAUUGAAAUCAAGCAUAACUAUAUGUCAAACAGUGAACAAUCUGAGAUCUAUCUGAACAAAGCAUGCUUAUUUGUUCCACUGAUAAUUACUGAGCCAAACAUGUCUCAUUCUACUCAGGACAGAUAUCCAUCUAUGUAAGAGCUAACAAUUUAUUUGCCUGUAAGGAGUUCAGUGUAACCCACAUUAAUGAGAUUACCAGCAGGAUUAACUUUCCAUUUUAUAGUUCAUAUUUUUCCAGACAGUACUAAAUUCAUGUAAUUUCAUUAUUCUUCCUAAAGAGAAUUUGUUUAAUGCACAGCUAAAAUAUUUUAACUUGUUUAUGAGAUUACAUUUAAGUACAUUCACAGAUCAUAAAAAACUCUUUUGGAGUUUUUAGGUUGGGAAAAUGUUCUUAUAGUUAUUUCCAAAUGAUGUUGUACCUUUGGUAAUUUUGUACAUUUCAGCAAUUUUCACUUUCCAUUAUCCUUAGUAAUUUUUUAAUGUGGGCAAGCACAUUUCUGAAAGGAGCAUGCCAGAGAAAAUCCUAGGGACAGAUAUACCAUACUGAACUAUUUUUAAAGUAAAACAUUUUUAUCUUCAGCUUUUCUAUCACUAAACCAUUUUUCCAGUUCAAGAGUUUUAAAAUUAAUUCCCCACCCCCCAUAAUCCUAUCUCUUACCUCUACUUUCAAAUACCUUUGUCUUUUGAUGAGCGCAUUUUGGAUGAAUUCCCAGUCAACUUUCAAAAUUUAAUUAAACUCAGCUAAGUUUAACUCAGCUUUAACAGAUAGUUUUUUAAUAGCUGAUUAACUGGGAGCCCAUCUUUAGGAAUUCUAAGAAAAAAAGGUUGGUGAAUGUUGCAUCUUGAUAAAAGUUCUAAUACUGAUGUUACUAGCAUCAAUAAACAAAUGCCUGCUUGUGUUGAUUUAAAAAGACAAUAAACUUUCAAGUGCAAGUAUCCAAC